AACGCACCUUGCGCCCCUUGGUAUUCCGAGGGGCACACCCGUUUGAGUGUCGUGAACACCCUCAACCUUCUUGGUUUCUUGACCAGGAAGGCUUGGACUUUGGAGGUUUUCCUUGCUGGCUUUCCUUUAAAGCCAGCUCCUCCUAAAUGAAUUAGUGGGGUUCGCCUUGCCGAUCCUUGACGUGAUAAGUAUGCUUCUACGUCUUGGGUUUUAAAGGAACCUGCUUCAAACGGUCUUUGAACAAAGACAAUGUUCGAGUUGCAUUGCGACUCAAACUCAGUGACCUUGACCUCAAAUCGGGUGAGACUACCCGCUGAACUUAAGCAUAUCAAGCGGAGG
This 339-nucleotide ribosomal RNA is filed under the name uncultured Russula. Its description in RNAcentral is "eukaryotic LSU rRNA". Lineage: Eukaryota; Fungi; Basidiomycota; Agaricomycetes; Russulales; Russulaceae. The record is from RNAcentral.